AUUUUCGUCGCCUAAUGAAUCCUUAUGAGCUACAUGAACAUAGCUGUUUAAGACAUCCCCUUCUUGGUGCAAAAUUGUUAAGCACGGGUGUUCCCUUUGAAUAAAAGAGCCCAGCGCCUUGGAAUAAAGGUUCAAGAAAGCUUGGUUUAAUGACUGUAGACUUUUUUCACCCGGUGAAAGGUGCACAACUUUUUUUCUUUUUUAAUCCAAGUCGGUAUCGAUGUUUAUCUUCUCUUGGCAUUGAUUGUGAUGGAGACGCAUUUGAUAGACCGAAAUGUUUUCGAGUCAAGCUUGAUGGUGCAGAGGCAGCAACUCGACUCCUCCAUUUGCUAAUAAAGCACUAAAUCAAAUAAUUUUUUAGGUUAUUUUUCUUGUUACCGUUCUUUUUUAAAUAAGAAUCCUUUAAAAAAAGAAGAUGCAAUGAAUCAUGUUUGAAUGUUACAUUGGAAUUCAAAAAACGGAUACGCGACACAGUCAUUUAUGCAUAGGAUGAAAGACAGUCUUACUUGAACUUUCCGAGUGUUUUUCAGAUAUUAAAAGAUGGCGGUGUGAUGAAGUGUAUCGACCCAAUGAAUACCUUCUAUCUGUAACAAGCUUUUUUUUUUUAUGAGAAGAAGCAUUUCUAUGA
This is a long non-coding RNA of Hylaeus volcanicus, 628 nucleotides long. RefSeq lists it as uncharacterized. Lineage: Eukaryota; Metazoa; Arthropoda; Insecta; Hymenoptera; Colletidae. The transcript has 5 exons. The record is from RefSeq and is a predicted model, not a curated record.